CGGGACGGGUGAGUAAUGUCUGGGAAACUGCCUGAUGGAGGGGGAUAACUACUGGAAACGGUAGCUAAUACCGCAUAACGUCGCAAGACCAAAGAGGGGGACCUUCGGGCCUCUUGCCAUCGGAUGUGCCCAGAUGGGAUUAGCUAGUAGGUGGGGUAACGGCUCACCUAGGCGACGAUCCCUAGCUGGCCUGAGAGGAUGGCCAGCCACACUGGAACUGAGACACGGUCCAG
RNAcentral lists this ribosomal RNA (233 nucleotides) under uncultured bacterium. RNAcentral describes it as "partial 16S ribosomal RNA". It matches the Rfam family "Bacterial small subunit ribosomal RNA", at positions 100 to 334 of the family's 1533-position model. The record is from RNAcentral.